Long non-coding RNA from Patiria miniata (bat star), 3023 nucleotides. RefSeq lists it as uncharacterized. NCBI's taxonomy places the organism in Eukaryota, Metazoa, Echinodermata, Asteroidea, Valvatida, Asterinidae. The record is from RefSeq and is a predicted model, not a curated record. The transcript is spliced from 5 exons.
AGGUACUUGUGUUGAACUUACUACAGUUUCAAUGAUUAGGGUAAUUUGUUUUUUGUCAAGGUUGUCUUUCAAACAGAAAUCGUGUGCAAUAUCCAAGGUAAUUUUAAAUACUCAUGCAAGUAUGAUGCAUUUGUUUUUGUAGGUAAAGUUCAUCUCUGACGAUUAUACUGAAGAGAUGUACAUAAAGCAGAAGAUGCAGUGAGUUCAUUGAUGAGAGCCAACAAACAAGAUAACUGGAACUUAUGUGGAUGGAGCAACCGAGCUGACUGAACUUCAGAGAUGCUAUGGGUCAUCAACACCACCAUUCUUCAAACCUUUAAAAAAUCCUAGGACAACAACCAUCUUGCCGGAUCAUUCUCGCCCGGAGGGGACAACAUGUCCUGAGCGCAAUUGACCUUGCCAGGGUCAGGUCACGACCUGUGAUGCCACCCAGGUCAUACCAGAGGGAAGAGGUCAUCAAAGCAACGUACGAAGUAGGGGUCAAGGUGUAAUUCCCUAUGUGACCUAUUUGGCACGUGGAUCCAGCAGCUUUGGACGCUUCUAGUUUUUCCAACCAUUUUACGGUUUCUGUCCCCCACAGAUGGGAAGACAGUGUUUGCUGACAAAAAAAGUUGAGAGCUGUACAUGUGUACGUUCUUACGUGGGAGUAUUUUGACACCCUCUUUAAUUAGUGCCAGUUGCAAUAUUCCAGAUUCGGCAAUCGAUUGCAUUGUAGAACAGCUAGUAAAAACUCAACUGGAUAUUGAGAUGCAAACGACCCAAGUAAAGUCUGCCUCACAUGGACUUCUGCCUGAAAAAAGACAGAAGUGCUGCACUUCUUCACACAUGCGCCUUGAAAAGAGCCACCCCUGCGUAUCUCAAUUGACAGAAUGGAGUUGGUAUGCAGAUGAACAGUUUGGCUCUUUUGUAGCGGUAAUGCUUGACAGAGAUGUGGACAGUAAACUGAUCAAAGGAAACUCUGCUUGUGGCAGUGUUUACAAACUUGUCUUAACCAAGAACAUAAAGAAAUAUAGCAAUACAUGAGCAUGUACUGUCCAAAGCUAGUCUUGCGUCUUGUCUAUAUGGUGCGGAUACAUACUGGGUUGUCAGCCUUUGAUACCUGCUGCUCCUUUAGUGUGUUUCCAUUACUGUUGCUUCUACACUAAUGUGGACACAAACUGGACUGAUUUCAUCCGGGGCAGUAGAGGUCUUUAGUAUGUUGCAUGUUGAAUUGAGAAAGAUGUGUCUCCACGUUUCAGGAUCAUAACCUACUAAAGAUUGUUCAGUACACAGAACUAUGUACUUAUGAUCUUGACAGAGGAGCACUGUGGAAGAGAUAUGCAGACAUCUUAAAAAAUCUCUCAUCACUUGCUGCAUCAACCACUACUAGUGUGGAAGGCAAGCUGCUGAUGAUUGUGUUAGCUGGAGAUUGGCCUUGUCAACCAGGCCCCCUACUUCAAAGGCAGCCUCAAGCAUUGGCACAUAAUUGGAGAAGCAGCAGAUGUUAGAGAAACUGUGAUGUUUCAGCACUGUUUAGCAUAGGCUGUAUUAGCUACCAUACUACCUAAGUGCCUUUCAUGCAGACCUCCAGCUGACUCAGUGCUUGUGUACAGUCAUCACCAACAAAGAUGAUAUGAUGGAUGUGACUUGCAAUAGACUGAACUUCUGAUUCGUUUGUACAGGUUUCUGUGCUUGGCCACGUUACAGUGCCGUCAUCCAGCCUUCAAGCAUGGUUCAGAAGCCAUGAACCACAAAUCAGCAUGUUUCCUUCCAGUUUCCAAUGAGCACUCUGACAGCAUCACUUAGCAUGCCAGUAUUCAACAUUGUGCAGAUCAUCUCUGUAAAGAUGGCUGUGUUGCUUCAGUUGCCACAUCUCUACGUAUGUUCUUCCUGUUAGCAAAGGCACACUGUGACAGCAUCCACUUUCUACAUGCUAAUACAUGCACAGUAUUGUUCAGGGAAAGACAUAUGCAAACCUAUCAGCUUCCAAAGUCGGCAACAUCCUGCUGUCACUACAGUCUCAGCACCUACCAGCUCCCACUCUGUCAGCAACAUCCUGCUGUCACAUGUCCAGCUACCGGUACUUGAAGUUACUGUGUGCUUGUACAUUCUCAGCACCUACUAGCUCUCACUCUGUCGGCAACAUCCUGCUGUCACAUGUCCAGCUAUUGGUACUCGGAGUUACUAUUUGCUUGUACUUUCUCAGCACCUACCAGCUCCCACUCUGUCAGCAACAUCCUGUCCAGCUACCGGCACUUGGAGUUAUAGUGUGCUUGUACAUUCUCAGCACCUACUAGCUCCCACUCUGUCAACAACAUCCUGCUGUCACACCUCCAGAUAUGUGGAGUUAUUGUGCUUUUACAGUCUCAGCCAGUAUUGGAUUGCAAGUUGUCUUAUGCUGCUACAACCUACACAUUUAGCAUUCUCUUGAACCUUGAGGAACCACCAUAUGAACAAAGAGACAGUCUCUGAAACACUCAUAAUAAACCUGUCACGGUGGUUUGUUGAACAUUCGUAUUAUUUGGAGGACUUGCAAUUAGCUCAUAUAGUCAACUAGCUAUUCCAGUCCUCUGGAAUUUGCUUGAGGUUAUUCUAUACUAGUAGCAAGCCUUUUUUGUGCACGGUCAAGAGUAGAUCGAGAAAGCAGUUGUUUUUAAGGGCAAAACAAUUGUUCUUGUUCCUUGAAAAAGUUGGUCAAAACAUUUUCCCAACCAUUUUUUUAUUUAAACAGUAAGAUAAAGGGCAACGAGGACUGUUUAAUGCCAUUUCUACAUGGUAGAAAAACAAUUCAAUGCUAAUUUUUAUCCAAGAUAUUCAAAGUUUUGGUGUUAUUGGCAAAGAGAGUACCCGCAAGAGUGGUUGUGACAUGUACAUGCAAAACUGUUUGCAAUGAUUAUGCUAUUAUUAUGAUAAAAAUGGUGCAAAGUACGGCGUUAAAAUGGGCUCUCUCCUUGUACAUAGCACAAUACAUAAGUGAUUGUGAUCAUAAAUGUAUUGAAUUACAUAAAAUACAAUUGUGGAUAAAUAUUUGGUAAUUUGGGGGA